Molecule: long non-coding RNA, 912 nt
Filed under: Callithrix jacchus (white-tufted-ear marmoset)
Lineage: Eukaryota; Metazoa; Chordata; Mammalia; Primates; Cebidae
Description: lncRNA (ENSCJAG00000079865.1)
Source: RNAcentral
CAGCCUCAUAGGCAGAAGAGACUUGCCUUGUCUUAGAUGAUACUUUGGAUUGUGGACUUUUGAGUUAAUGCUGAAAUGAGUUAAGAGUUUGGCGGACUAUUGGAAAAGCAUGAUUGCUUUUGAAAUAUGAGGACAUCCGACUUGGGAGGGACCAGGGUGGAAUGAUAUGAUUUGUCUGUGUGCCCACCUAUAUCUCAUCUUGAAUUAUACUCCCAUAGUUCCCAUAUGUUGUGGGAGGGACCCGGUGGGAGAUAAUUGAAUAAUGGGGACAGUUUUCCCCAUUCUGUUCUCUUGAUAGUAAAUAAGUCUCAUGAGAUCUGAUGGUUUUUUAAAGGGUUUCUGCUUUUGCUUCCUCCUCAUUCUCUUCUCUUGUCUGCUGCCAUGUGAGACGUGACUCUCACCCUCCACCAUGAUUGUAAGGCCUCUCCAGCAAUGUGGAACUGUGAGUCCAAUAAGCCUCUUUCUUUUGUCAAUUGCUGAGUCUUGGGUAUGUCUUUACUAGCAACAUGAAAAUGGACUAAUACACAAAGUGAUGUUCUCCUCAUUACUCCCAGUGACUCAUUUAUACAGACUUCAUUCUUCUUUUCCCUGCAGGCUUCACUAGGUUGAAGAUCCUAGUUUCUGGAGGAUGGAGGAUGAUGAAUGUUUCCAUCAAGGGAUACACUAAGUGGUCCAUUGAACCUGAAACUAUAUACUGCCACUUUGUCACUUAGAGAUUCUCAUGCCAAAGGACCAGCAGACAAAGAAAGGACUACUAUACUAGAAAACCAGGCUUACUGCCCCCAUUGAGCUGAUCUGAUUUGCUCCUCAGGCCAUUUGGCUCAUCUCCUCUUGUUCACUUGGUACAUAAAAUGUCAGCUGAGCUAGUGUGGCCAAGGUAACAUUGAAAAUCUGUGUGGCAUGGUGAGCAUU